Molecule: long non-coding RNA, 1094 nt
Organism: Mercurialis annua (annual mercury)
Lineage: Eukaryota; Viridiplantae; Streptophyta; Magnoliopsida; Malpighiales; Euphorbiaceae
Exons: 5
Source: RefSeq, a predicted model, not a curated record
AUGAGUUCUACUUGUGUUUUGUGUAUUUUUAGUGCUAUGUGUUGAUUGUGUUAAAUUCGAGGACGAAUUUGUAAUUAGUUGGGGAGAAUGUAAUAUCCCGUAAAAAAUUUGAAGUUUAUUUUAUAAAUUCUCGGUAUUAAAUUGUGUCGUUUUCGGUUUAGAAUUUAGUUUAGUAGUUUUAUUUGAAUUGGGUUGAUUGAAGUCCGGGUUUGGGGUGUGGUUCAACCAGAAAUUGGUUGAACCAGGUCUCGUUGAACCAAGGUCUCAAACGAGACUUGAUUCUCGUUCGAGACCAAGGUCUCAAACGAGACAGCUUCAGAAUCGUGGUAAGGCAAGAUUCUGAAGCCUUAUUUUCCGCAAAAAUCCCCCCAAAUCUCCAACUGAAACCACCACGAUUUAAACCCUUUUUGUUUCUGAUUUAUUCACAAACCAUAGAUGUUCUCUUCCUCUAAAAAAAUCUUCAUGAAAUCUUUCGUCAAAUUUUCUGCGUAGUUCAGUGAGUUUUCAAGCUUUAAAAUUCUGUUUUGGAUACUUAUAAACGGCACCUUCGUUCAUCACUGAUUACUCCUUCGUUUCAGAUCCAAAUUCACUUCCGUUUGAUUCCUGAGAUUGUAGAUUCAUUCCUCUACGAUCCGACAUAUUAUUCUCGAAGAACGCCGUUUGAAGAUCGAAAUCAGUUUCGUUUAUUUCCCGUAAUAGUAGACUCAUUAAUCUUCGAGACCGAGUUUCGUUUUCGUAAAACGCCGUUUCUCGAUCGAAAUCAGUUCCGUUUGGUUCCCGUGGAAGUAGACUCAUUACUCUACAACUUUGCUUUUCGUCUCUCACCAAUCGACCCGUCGACUGCUCGUGCUUCGGAGUCUACGCAGGGUUAGCUGUUUGCCAAGAUCACGUGGAUAAGCAAGCAGUUUAUGAUUUGAAAGCUGGUCCACUCCGAUUCUUUUGAUUCCUCGGAGGUUUUUAUGUUAUUAAACUAGUUUCUAUUUUUCGAACUCUUAGACCGCAGUAGAACUAGUUAUUUAUUUCAUUGGAUUAUUAUACUUUGGGAUUAUCGAUUUGCUCGAUUAUUUAUUGGCAUGUUCACCCCGGAUUAUUUA